AUGAAGCGUGCAUUGGUGUGUGUGCUGAUGGCUGCCUGGAGCCUUGGAUGUGGCAGCCAGACGGUGAACCAGCCAGCAGAGAAUGUGUACGCCAUGAAAGGCGACUCAGUUACGCUGGACUGCAGCUAUGAAAAUUCUGGAGGCAUCGAUUACAUCUUCUGGUACAAACAGGAUGGGCAGACGACACCAAAGUUCAUCCUGAGCCUCUCAAUAUUCGGUGAGGGCAAGACUGAGAGCAGCUUUGAAAAGAGGUUCAGCUGCAGCAUCAAUGACACCGCCAAGCGAGCUCCUCUGAAGAUCCAAGACGUGCCGCUGAGCGAUUCUGCUGUCUUCUACUGCGCCAUCCAGCCCACAAUGACUGACAUCUCUGCUGCACCUGCACAAAAACCUCUUGCAAACAUGUGUAGAGACUUCAUCCCGCUCCUGCUGUGCGAUGGUAUUUGCAGUACGUUUCCUCCUGUCUCUCUUCUCCUCUGCGAGCUGGCCUCUCCUCAAAUCAGCCUCUGCGAUACCCCGUCUAACCGCUUGACGCCAGACAUUUCGGUUCUCCGCCUGUAUCUCCCAGCUGUCUAA
Non-coding RNA from Entelurus aequoreus (snake pipefish), 573 nucleotides. The record is from the annotation of a RefSeq genome assembly. NCBI's taxonomy places the organism in Eukaryota, Metazoa, Chordata, Actinopteri, Syngnathiformes, Syngnathidae.